UCGAGAAUCUUCGGCAAUGGGCGCAAGCCUGACCGAGCGACGCCGCGUGUGGGAUGAAGGCCCUUGGGUUGUAAACCACUGUCAGAGGGGAUGAAAUGCACGAGAGCUAUCUCUUGUGUUUGACAUAGCCUCAGAGGAAGCACGGGCUAAGUUCGUGCCAGCAGCCGCGGUAAUACGAACUGUGCAAACGUUAUUCGGAAUCACUGGGCUUACAGGGUGCGUAGGCGGUCUGUUAAGUAGGGUGUGAAAGCCCCCGGCUCAACCGGGGAAUUGCGCCCUAAACUGGCGGACUGGAGUGAGAUAGGGGUGUGCGGAACUUCCGGUGGAGCGGUGAAAUGUGUUGAUAUCGGAAGGAACGCCGGUGGCGAAAGCGGCACACUGGAUCUCAACUGACGCUGAGGCACGAAAGCCAGGGGAGCGAACG
RNAcentral lists this ribosomal RNA (424 nucleotides) under uncultured bacterium. Its description in RNAcentral is "bacterial SSU rRNA". It matches the Rfam family "Bacterial small subunit ribosomal RNA", at positions 355 to 774 of the family's 1533-position model. The record is from RNAcentral.